Molecule: long non-coding RNA, 920 nt
Organism: Sinocyclocheilus grahami
Lineage: Eukaryota; Metazoa; Chordata; Actinopteri; Cypriniformes; Cyprinidae
Exons: 2
Source: RefSeq, a predicted model, not a curated record
ACUUUAUUCUGUCGCCUCCAUUCACGGCCAGUGCGUUUAAAGUGCAGUCAUUUCACAGCUUCAGUAAAAACAGCAAACCUAAAAUAUCUAACUGAACAAUGGAAACGUGGAGAAUAUAAAUAUCUAGAGAACAAAAGGAAAGCUCAGUGAAACAGGUAAGCGAUGGCCACACAAACUCGUUGGCAAGGCUAGCGUAAAACAAAGGCACAGCAAUGUGGAGGUAAAACCAUCGCUUCCAGAAGGAAAAGCUGCAGCAUUCUGUCACCAGAUCAAGCUCUGGCUUCCUCAGCACUUUCUCAUUGAUGCGUAUGAGUUUGACAGAUAUGAACGAUGACAUGACGUGACCCUCUUCAACAGCAGCGGGACCCUGAGCUAGACUUCCAUGAACAUCUCGAGCUAGACUACAGUGUUUAAGUGCUGUGUGUGUGAGUGAGUGUGAGUGUGUGUGUGUGUGUGUGUGUGUGUGCCAGCAGAGGAAUGACAGCUACUUUAUACAGCACUGCUUCACAGGACAUUUCUGGUAGUUUUUGGUUACAGGAACUAUGGACUCAUAAUCAAUUCUCUAAAAUGGCUUUCAUAGUAAUAUGGCUUUAUGUUAAUGGAAAUAAUGAUAUUAUUGAUAUCUGAUAUGAUCAACAGGGCUUCAAGUCAACAUGAAAUGAAAAUUAAGCCUAUUUAUUGUCUUCGUAAACCAAGCUUAACCGGACUUGACAACAGUGUUUGUCUGUAUGAAAACAUUGACAUCAGCUAGACUGUGCGGGAUACGGAUUCAUAUCAAACAACAGCCAAAUAUCUCUUUAGAAACGGUCAAACUAGUACUGAUAGUGUGAACAGUCAUUUAACUGCAUAUCAGUAACAGCACUGGAAUCAGACCUCAUGUUUUUUCUGUCCGUGACACAUCUGCUGCUCAGGAGCCGCGG